AGGGAAAGAGGGAGGCAUGCCUUACACAUGCAAGUCGAACGGCAGCACGGUUGCUUGCUCCUGGUGCCGAGUGGCGGACGGGUGCGUAAUACAUAGGCACCUGUCCCUUCGUGGUGGAUAGGCCGGCGAAAGCCGGAUUAACACCGCUAACGCACUCCGGCUGAAAGCGAGGGCCCUUCGGGUUUCGCGCUAUCGGGUUGGCAGCUGCCUGUUUCGCUAGUUGGUGGGGUAAAGGCCUACCAAGGCGACGAUCAGUAUCUGGUCUGGGAGGAAGACCAGCCAGACUGGGACUGAGACACGGCCCAGAGGCCUACGGGAGGCGGCAGUGGGGAAUUUGGGACAAUGGGCGGGAGCCUGAUCCAGCAAGGGGGCGUGUGUGAAGAAGGACUUCGGGUUGUAAGACACUUUUGUCCGGAAAGAAAACCUUGGCCAUAAUACGGUCGGGAGAUGACGGUACCGGAAGAAGAAGCACCGGCUAACUACGUG
RNAcentral lists this ribosomal RNA (486 nucleotides) under uncultured bacterium. RNAcentral describes it as "partial 16S ribosomal RNA". It matches the Rfam family "Bacterial small subunit ribosomal RNA", at positions 38 to 507 of the family's 1533-position model. The record is from RNAcentral.